UACGAAGGGUGCAAGCGUUACUCGGAAUCACUGGGCGUAAAGCGUGCGUAGGCGGUUUCUUAAGUCUGUCGUGAAAGCCCUGGGCUCAACCUGGGAAUGGCGAUGGAUACUGGGAGGCUAGAGUGUGAUAGAGGAUGGUGGAAUUCCCGGUGUAGCGGUGAAAUGCGUAGAGAUCGGGAGGAACACCAGUGGCGAAGGCGGCCAUCUGGGCCAGAUCCGACACUGAGGCGCGAAAGCGUGGGGAGCAAACAGG
This 253-nucleotide ribosomal RNA is filed under the name uncultured bacterium. Its description in RNAcentral is "partial 16S ribosomal RNA". It matches the Rfam family "Bacterial small subunit ribosomal RNA", at positions 524 to 776 of the family's 1533-position model. The record is from RNAcentral.